This 4116-nucleotide long non-coding RNA is filed under the name Homo sapiens (human). RNAcentral's name for it is "non-protein coding lnc-XPC-10:4". The record is from RNAcentral. Lineage: Eukaryota; Metazoa; Chordata; Mammalia; Primates; Hominidae.
CAGGAAUGGAAACGAAAGUGGAACUCGGCCUUUCCCUCUUUCUCUCCUGCAGACGAUGGGCCCUACUCCAAAGGAGGCAAGGACGCAGGAGGGGCCGACGUUUCCCUGGCGUGCCGCAGACAGAGCAUUCCAGAGGAGUUCCGAGGGAUCACUGUGGUGGAGCUGAUCAAGAAAGAAGGCAGCACGCUGGGCCUGACUAUCUCAGGUGGCACCGACAAGGAUGGAAAGCCCAGGGUCUCCAACCUGAGACCUGGGGGACUUGCAGCCAGGAGUGAUCUGCUGAACAUUGGUGACUAUAUUCGGUCUGUGAACGGGAUCCACCUGACCAGGCUCCGCCACGAUGAGAUCAUCACCCUGCUCAAGAAUGUGGGCGAGCGCGUGGUGCUGGAGGUGGAGUAUGAGCUGCCCCCGCCCGGUGGGUGCCCUUGGACGGGGAACUUUCUCCACUGCCUCGGUUGCGGGUGGACACGGCUACCUCCCCACCAGGGCCUGGGUGGCAGGGAUCAUGCCAGAUGGAGUGGGUAGAACCUGGAGACUGGCCACAAGCAUCCAUACCUCGCCUAGGGGCUGUGCCUACAACCGCAGUAUGCUGUCACCAGGAGGUGGUGGGACUCUAUAGCCAAUGUCAUUUUACAUAUUUAGUCUCCAGAUGCUUUUCCUUUAGCGGGGAGGGUUUUGGAAGCAUUAGCUGAAUAAGUCGUUCCCUGACCUACCACGCCCACACUCCACUGCCCUGCACUAAGUAACGGUGGUGUAGGGUUUCACCUAGCUUGGGAUUUUCAAAGCUGGUCUAAAGUCUUGAAGUUUGAGUAACUGUCUGGAAUUCAGCCCUGGCCUGAGCCUACCAGCCAUGGACUCAAGCCUGAGUUCUGCCGUCGUCUCUGUGAGCAUGGGCAGGCCCUUUCCUCUCUCUCAGUGGUGGGCUAAGUGGGAUUAGGGGAGAGGAUCCCUCUAAGCCUCACUUGUUCGACCUGUAAAAUGGGCAAGGGUUUACCCUCCCUGUAAUCUCUGUGACUGAUCACCCAGUCCUCCUGGAAUGAGCUUUGGGCACAUCUACCGGCCUGGAGAUGCGACUGAGGGACUCAAAGGAGUCCUCCAUUUCUCCCCAGCUCCUGAGAAUAACCCCAGGAUCAUUUCAAAGACAGUGGACGUCUCCCUCUACAAGGAGGGCAAUAGCUUUGGCUUUGUCCUUAGAGGUCAGUGAAAGAAUUGCCCUUGGUAUUGGGGCAGCAAGAAAGAGGCUAAUACUAAUUCCAUGUGUGUGCUGUUUGGAUUUGAAUGUAAUUUAUGUGUAUCUCAGUUCUGACUUUGAAGAACACAGGACCGUUAAGGUAAGUAUUCAGUGGGAAAAUCUGCCAAGCAAUGAAGUAGGCUUGGUUGGGGAGAGUGAGAGGAGAAAGUUGUACCGGAAAAUGAUGGUGAAAGCUGCUACCGAGACUGAGAACAAAGUCUGGAGCUUCCUAGAGAUCAGGGAAAAGGGGAAAUAAGGUGAGGUCACAGAAGGGAGGCAAGCCAUUUAACAGAGAGAAGACUUUGGUCAUGUUACCCACCCCUUGCACCAUCUCUUGGGAGGGCGAAUUUAUUGUUGGUGUCUCAUAAGAGGGUCCAUGGAUAGCAAGGACAAGGUCCUCAAACAGGUUUUAUUGAAGGAGCCUGCUCAGGGGCUGUGUGGGAGCCUCUGGAUGGGAAGGGGUGGGUGGAUGAUUCCUGCUUCUUGUCAAAUCCUGUCCAGGAGGUGCCCAUGAAGAUGGGCACAAGUCCCGCCCGCUUGUCCUGACCUACGUGCGGCCCGGUGGCCCUGCCGACAGGUGAGCCGAGGCAGAAGAAAUCCACACACUGCACUGACCUGCCCCAACUCCCCUGCGAAGAAGGUGGAGUGGGGUCACCAUGCCCCUUCCCCAGAUGAAGAGAUCGAGGCCCUGAGGGAACACUCCCUGCCCGGUGUCAUUCAGGGAGUUGUUGAUGGAACCGGGAUGUAACCCCAAAUGAGGGAAACCUCGAGCCCUUUCUUCCCCAACAUACUGCUGUCUCAGGGGUUGGGGUGUUUGGAGAGGGGCAGCCUUGGUGUCGUUCUUCCCUUUCCUGCUCCUUGGUUUUCCCGUCUGUGGAAUGGUCCCUAAGAGUUGCUAUGAGAGAUUUGGGGGCACGCUGAUUGGCCACUGCUGUAGCCGUCUGUGACUCAGUCUCCUGGGUCCUGGCUGAUCGACCCAGCUCGGCCCCGCCUGGGCCCAGCCCAGAAGGGCCAGGAGGAGAGAAUGUGGGGAAAGAACAUGUCCAGUUCCCAGCCCCUGAUCCCUCGGCCUCCCCAGUGGGAGAUUCCUGGCCAUUUUAAGAGAAGCCUGGAACGGCCUUGUCAGAAAUCUAAAUCUGUCCUUGGGACAGGGCCCUGUGAUGAGCUAUUCAUAGAACCCCCGAGAAUAGCUUUGGCCACCUGUUGGGAGAGGCGUUCCAGGCUGGGGAUGCGACCCAAACCGAGGUGAACCCUGCUGGGGCCCCUCCCCUGGCCCCUGUUGAGUUCUUUCCCAGGCGCGGGUUGUCAUCAGGCCAGAAUCACCGCUGAGAAACCAGGGUGAGGGUGGAGCAAUGGGAAGGGACCAGGACGGCUCAGAGCAGCCCCCAAUGCCGUGUGGCAUGGGCACAGCUUGCACCCUCUCUGGGCCCUGGUGCUGUCCUUUGUCCCUGAGGCAGGAGUUGGGGGUGACGCUUGAAGAGCACCCCCAGCUCAGACAUUUCAGGGUUCUGCACUGAGUCUGUGAAUUACUGCACACCCAGAGGAGUGGCAGGCGGCAGAGCCACCCCAUCCUGUCUUCAUCCCCCCCUUGCUUUAUGCAGCUCCCCACUCCUGGAGUGGCUCAUUCCUUCACUCACUCAUGCGCCCCUUCACCCGUCCCCUCCUCCCCUUCCUCCCCCACCCAUUCCCUGCUUCUUCAUCCUCCAUGUCCCGCUUCCCAGCGCCCUCCCAGACAGGCUGUGCCCAGUGCUGCUGCCGGGCCAGGCUGGUGACUGGCCCUUCCCUACAGGGAGGGCUCCCUGAAGGUGGGCGACAGGCUGCUCAGUGUCGAUGGAAUCCCGCUGCACGGGGCCAGCCAUGCCACCGCCCUGGCCACCCUGCGGCAGUGCAGCCACGAGGCACUCUUUCAGGUGGAGUAUGAUGUGGCCACCCCUGGUGAGUUGGGGGCCUGAGUGUGUGGGUUGGGGCAGGAGGAGGCCUGGGAUGGGGGGAGGUGGCAGUGGCCAUGGAUCUUUACCACUGCAAAGGCUGCAUGACCUUAUGACCUUGGGCCAGUCACAGCUUCUCUGGGCAGUAAAUAGUAUGUGCUAGGCAUUGUUUGAUGUGCUGGGGAUCCAGCCUAGAACAACAGAAUUGAGGUGUCUGUUCUCAUGGAGCUGGCAUUCUGGUGGAGAGAGGACAGUAUCCAGAAUAGAUAAGAUAUGGUGUAUGUCAGUUGGCAAUAAGUGCUAUGGAAAAAAGAAAAGAGGCAGGGGAGAGAGAUGGGACAGGCUGGGGGAUGCUCUCUCACUAGGGGAGUGAGGGAAUGAGCGAGGCAUGGAAUGUCCAGGGACAGCAUUCCAGGAGGGCGGAAGAGUAAGUGCAAAGGCCCUGAGGCAGGAGCAUGGCCAGCAUGGUUGGUCACAGUGAGGAGGCUGCCGUGGUUGGCACAGGUGAGUGAAAGGAGGUAAGGGCAGAGCAGGGUGAGGUGGAAGCCGGGAGGCCAUAGGAAGCGGCAGCAGCUGUCCAAGCGAGAGCUAAGGGACUGAACCAGGCUGGUGGCUAAGGAGGGGAGAAGGCACGGGAUUCAGGAAAUAUGAUGACGGUCCAGCUGGCCUGAUCUGCUGAGAUUUAGACAUGGGUGGGCGAGGGCAGGAGCUAAGGGUGCGGCCAAAGUUUUAAUUUCCAGCCACUGGGUGUGUUAAUGGAGGUGCCAUUUCCUGAGAUGGGGAUGGGUUGUAGUGAACUUUACAGUUUAGUGCUGGUAUACCACAGGCUCUUCAUAAACUCAAGCAAAUUCAUUUCACCCAGCAAAGCCCUGGGAUCACAGCCCCUCAGACCUGAGCUCCUGCCCCUCCUCCACUGCUAUCUUAUCUGUCAAAUUGAUAUAACAUUUGGUAGAAGAU